RNAcentral lists this ribosomal RNA (206 nucleotides) under uncultured bacterium. RNAcentral describes it as "partial 16S ribosomal RNA". It matches the Rfam family "Bacterial small subunit ribosomal RNA", at positions 568 to 774 of the family's 1533-position model. The record is from RNAcentral.
AGCGCAGGCGGUUUCUUAAGUCUGAUGUGAAAGCCUUCGGCUCAACCGAAGAAGUGCAUCGGAAACUGGGAAACUUGAGUGCAGAAGAGGACAGUGGAACUCCAUGUGUAGCGGUGAAAUGCGUAGAUAUAUGGAAGAACACCAGUGGCGAAGGCGGCUGUCUGGACGGUAACUGACGUUGAGGCUCGAAAGCGUGGGAGCAAACA